GACAUAAGGAAUCCUGUAUAAACGGCAUAAAACAGAAUACAAAAGAGCUACCACUGAGUUGGUCCAGAGGGCACCACAGUAUUCACCAGUACGGAGUAAGAGAUUCAACUACUACUUUGUGUUGGUAUGACGAUUUGGAGAAUCAUCCUAUACAGAAGCUGAGUAAAGUUAUGAAUGCUUCAGCCCGGAUUCACAAAGACAACUAACACCUUACGUCUUACUGAAAGGCAUGCAUUGUUUGACUGAGAAGAAUGGAUACUGCCCACUUGCUCAACUUCUUUUCCAGUUGUUACCGGAACAACCCCAUCAAUUUACUGAGCAAACACUUUCUAUACCUGUGCCUGUGUAUGUAAGGCCCUUCUUUUAUAAUUUAGUGGACAAGCUUGUCCAUUUUCCUCACAACUUUAAGUCCCAGGGUUACACAUCCUCAGGUCUUUUCAUAAUAGGCACUUCAGUGGCAGGAAUGCAGCUUACAGUGUUCUGGAAGCAGCUCCUUGAUAGAUAAAGUGGUUGAAUAGCACUACCUUCGAAGAAUCUGCCUUUGUAAGUCAUGAAGAUUUGUCCAUAUAUAAUUCACGUCACAAGUUCCUGAUAUUUUAGGUUUGUAUACAGUUCACAUCUGCUUAUUAAGCUGAUUUAAAAAGUCUUUUCACCUAUUUUAAUCUUGAUUGACACUUUUUGUUUGCAACUUCAGAGCAGCAUAAUUCAGGAGACAUCAUCUGGCAUAAACUCUUUGAGUAAUGGACGCAUGAUAGGAAGUAUUUAGCUUAAACACAAAUAUUUCACACUGUCCAUACAGGUAAAUUGAGGCUAGGCCUCUGUGCUUACUGUGAUCUUGCUUUAUCUCCCACCCCUCAGCAAAGGCUCUUGGUUCAGGCCUUCUCACUGUCACCCAGUUUGCAGUGUGUUAGAGCAGCUUGAAAGUAAACUGUGAAGAAGCCAAGUCUUACACAGGGUGAAAACAAAGCUGAACUGACAGUUUUGUUAUUGAAUGACAGAGGAGUCUUAUGACUUAUUUUUAGCUUAUACAUUUGCAUUUUCUUUUUUCACUGGAGCAAAUAAUCCUAUUUUUAAAACAAAGAAUAUACGUUAGCCAUAGCUGUGUGAUUGACUUCAGGAACAACCUCACCGAAUCCGG
RNAcentral lists this long non-coding RNA (1138 nucleotides) under Anser brachyrhynchus (Pink-footed goose). Its description in RNAcentral is "lncRNA (ENSABRG00000017307.1)". Lineage: Eukaryota; Metazoa; Chordata; Aves; Anseriformes; Anatidae. The record is from RNAcentral.